Ictidomys tridecemlineatus (thirteen-lined ground squirrel) is the source of this 1326-nucleotide long non-coding RNA. RefSeq lists it as uncharacterized. Lineage: Eukaryota; Metazoa; Chordata; Mammalia; Rodentia; Sciuridae. The record is from RefSeq and is a predicted model, not a curated record.
CUGAGAGCAACAAUAAACCGCAAUCUGGUGGCUCCAGGUUACAGCCAGAGAAAGCCCAACCUGGAAAUGCAGGCCUGGGUUAGCUGUGGGGCUGAUCCCAGAGAGUGUCCAGCGGUGAGGCCAGGAGGACACAACCUGAAGAACAUGGUCAGUGACCUGGAAAUUGAGAAGACAACACAGAAGUGAUGAGAAGCCAGGCAGCCUGAAGGUGUCCGAAGACGCGGGGGUGUCUUCGAGGUCAGCUGAGAGGGAUGGAAAGCAGCACUUGUGCCCUCGGUUGAGGGGACGAGUGGGCGGAAGAGGCCUCGGGAGGGACAAGACAACAGCUUCACCGGAGCCAAGCAGGGGCCAGGAAGAAAGGGCGCAGCAGGGCCGCAGCGGAGCUCAGAACAGACCUGGAGCACGGAGGACCGGGACUCGAGGGCCCACCCCGGUGAGAAGAGGCACGUCUUGUCGGUGGAGUGGACGCAUUGUGCUCUGCUGUCCAGGAGGGGACAUGGGGACCCACUCCCUCCAGAAGCUAAUGGAAGAGCUAGAGUAUCACCCUCUGCAGCCCCCAGGAAGGAGUGGACCCACCACUGACCAUCCCGCCAGUUAUCCAGCGGGCAAUGCACUGCCUCAGCCCAGGUCCACCUUCCAGUACCUGCUCUGAGAUGGAGACACGGUGUCCAGCUUUGUCAGCAGAGGGUGCCAGGGACGUUGCAGGAAGAUUGGGACUUUGGUUCUGUACUGGACAUGCGGCCUGAGAGCGUCCAGCGAAGCUCCACCCCGCCGUACAUCCAGAAGGCACAGUUGCUCUGCAACCCCAGGCCCAGCCUGAACCAGAGCCCAGAGUGCCUCAGCCCUGCCUCAUGGACACUGCACUGCGGCCUCCCUCACAGUGCAUCCCCACCUGCUCUGGCCUCUGCUUCCAGCACCAGCUGGCUCUCCUGCACCAGGACUUGGCUUCCCCCGGCCACUCCUGUGCACAUGUAGGAUUCCCCCCAUAUUGUCAGGCAAUUGUAAAAUUUUUAAAAAAGGUAAAACAUGCAUUGCCAAAACCCCAAUAAUUCAGUUUCUAAAUAUCCAGUUUAGAGAAAUUAUCCAGUAGGUGAGCAAAAUGGUAGUUUUCUGCAGUGUUUUUUUGCAAGAGCAAAACCCCUAGAAGCAAACUACAUGUCCAUCAGGGAGAAAGUGGUUAACAAAAAGAAGCAAACAAAACUUGAUGUAUCUGCUGGGCAGCAGUUAAAGCCCAUGGGUCAGCGCAGCAAAGAACUCCAACACACAUUAUUCAGUGGAGCAAGCAGAGUCAUGUGUUUCAUUUGAUCCCAUUUCCAAAAAAAAAAA